AAAGUCGUAACAAGGUAACCGUAGGUGAACCUGCGGUUGGAUCAUUACCAAAAGUAUGGCUAACUCUGAGGGAUACAGCAAUGUAUCCCCUUCAUGCUUUUUCCGCCUUGUGGAUGCAAGACACUCCACUGAAAAUGCCUCGGCAAUUUCAAGGGUGCGUGAAACAAGAAAGGAGAAUCAUGAUUUCAGCAGUUAUGACCACCACAUUCUGUGAAUUGACUCUGUCUCUGGCGGGUGGGCAGUGCAAACUGCUUGUCAACAUUGCAAGCUUGCUUUAUGCACCUUGCAGUGUCGUGGACACCCCGUCAAACACUUUUAACUUUUGCUUUAUAUAUUUUGUCUGACAUUAAACUGUAUCAAUAUACAAAACAACUUUUGGCAACGGAUCUCUUGGCUCUC
RNAcentral lists this unclassified non-coding RNA (399 nucleotides) under Chytridiomycota sp. RNAcentral describes it as "partial contains small subunit ribosomal RNA, internal transcribed spacer 1, and 5.8S ribosomal RNA". The stretch from base 1 to 47 matches the Rfam family "Eukaryotic small subunit ribosomal RNA", at positions 1785 to 1831 of the family's 1831-position model. Lineage: Eukaryota; Fungi; Chytridiomycota. The record is from RNAcentral.